GGAAGUAAGUGACCCCAAAUUUGGAGCUGUGUCCUCCUGGGAUGACCUUAGGGACAGGCUCUCUAUGCUGACUAGUGAAGCUGUGUAUAGGUGGCUGCUGGGUUGAGGGAACAGACUGUUGAUUUCCUAUUGGGAAAUGUCUUGGCUUCCUCAACCUAUCGGAUGAUCAUUGUGGGCCUGGUGUCUGCUACCUCCAUCCUCUUUGAAGGAACAUGGAGGAGCCCUUCCUCUGUAGGAGACUUAAAUCGUCUUAAAAGAAUACGUCAGUCAUUCUGGGUCUCUGCCAGGGGCGAGGGGGCAUCUAGGCGUUAAGCAUAAACACUGGUUGUCUUCAUAUUGCCUUUUUCCCCCCUGCUGCUAAGACCUUGCUGGGCAGUUCUUUAUGAUGAACAAACCCUGUCUGGCUUUAGAGCUUUACCACCUACCCAUGGGUCCCUCCUCACUGGGCAGCUGCUGCACCUGCCUCUUCCAAGCCCUGGAGGCAACUUAGCCAGCUCACCCCUAGUAGUAUCUGCUUGCUUCUGCAACUCUUCUGACCAGCCUGUUUCCAUUGUUGGGGAGUCUUAGCACACUCUGGCAUAUUAUCCCCAGAGAAGAGACAAGGAGAUGGCUGAUGGGUGUGUGUGUGUGUGUGUGUGUGUGUGUGUGUGUGUGUGUGUGUGUGCGCGCGCGCACGCACUGUUCAGUUACACCAAAAGUGGAACUUAGGGAGCUUGCUUUCUGUAUUUUCAUAAGCACCCUGUCAGACAUUUAACUCUCCUACUUAUAGAAGCCUUAGACUUACAAUUUAGCUAUGCAAAUUAUUUUAAUAAUUUAAAAACAGCAGUUCCAACCAGUGCUUUCUCUUUCAGAUGCAUCCCAAGAAUGAAUGAUGAAGGGACUCAGUUGGAGUGGGCUCUCAGGUUGAGGCUGAUUAAUGGGAGUAAGCUAGCCUGGAUCUCUGAUUUGCAGAGCACACUCACAACCUGGGUUACAACUGAUGCCUCUAAGGCUCCGGAGCACUGGGAUCCCAGAAAUUGUGUGUGUCUGUGUGUGUGUGGGGGGGGAAGGAGGGAUAUUUCUAUGUUCACCUCUAGGAAAUGACAGCAGCAAGCUCUGAGAAUCCAGAAACUAUCCCAGCAAGGAACCGAAUCCAGUCACUGGAGGGAUGGGCUUUUGAAGGUGCCGGGAAGUCAUGGGUGUUCUGAAUGGCAGCAUGUGCCUGCUCUCUACCCAGUGGUUCCAUGGGCUGGGUCUUGCUUCAACUCAGGAGAGGCCAUAGUUUUGGGAGGCUGACCUGGCUAGACAAGAUUUUCUUUGAUAUGUGCAGCUUAUAUUGUGUAAGGGGGUAGGGCUGGGAUCAUGGGAAAUUAAGAGUGCUACUGGUUCCAUGGUUUGUUUCGUUGUUUUUUUUUUUUUUAUUGAACCUGAAAAUACUUUGACUUUUCUGUCGUCUCUUUCUGUGUGCUGGUAGGCAAGCAUGCAUGCACACCAAACGUAAGCAUAUGUGUGAGGGUAGCAGGAAAUGUCUCAGAGCCCAAGAACCAUGUUUUACAGUUUCUUUGAUCAGAAACACUUGGUGUUGAUGUCCACGCACCGUCCAGGCCUGAGUAAGGGAAGGAUGGUGAUAAGGGGGAGGGCAGAAGAUCAGGUGUAGGUAUCUUGCCUCGCUACUGUCUUCCAUAGAAUGUUUUCAAGGGCCUUUCAAGCCCCAUCUGUCUGGUUUAGCCUAAAUCCUCAGCCUAGGGAAUAUAGUACAAUUUAAUAAUUCAGGAUUACCAUUUGUAAUAAUGCUUUAUUCCCUUUUCUCAGUACCUUUGUAGAUAAAAAUUCAACAGAGACAGAUUAGCCAUUUAAUUGAGAAAGUAAGUGAACCAUGUUGGAUCCAGAUAGUUUUCUUCAGAUUAGAUAUCUGCAAAGUUUUCACCCCCUUGAGUUAUGCUUCUUAAGCAUCUUUUGACUUAAGGAUGUCUCUGGUCCUUGGAAUUCUAUUCCCUAGGAAUUAGUGUGUGGAAUCACUAUAUACUUGUGAUUCACAACUAAAUAUGAAAAUUUCCCACUCCAGGACAUGAAGCAAAUCGUUGGGGUAAUAUUUUGCUGAUAGGUUGAAACACCCAACCAAACUUUAGCAGUCUGGGUAGGACUGUCACUCCCAAAGCACUCAGCAGAGCAAGGCUCUCUGCUUGUCUUUUCAUGCCUGGCAUUGCUCUGGAACUGAGUCCUCUUCCCAUGGGGAAGGUCUUCUGGGGCUUUACAUUCCUUGUUCCUAGUGUUCCUGGCCAUGACCCCCUUGUGCUUCCCAGUUCCCUGUGAUUCCACAGAAGACCAGUCUCUCCUUUCUGAGCCAUGGCCUCCUAUGCACCCAACUCAGUGACUCUUCCCCCAUCAAAACUCCUGAGAGAAGAGCUCCUUCCCCCAUUAGUUCCCCAAGAGACUUUCUGGCCCUCUGCUGACUGUUCCCAAGAAAUCCACACCUCAAGGUCUGCCUGAGAAGGUUAUGCUCUCCAUCAGUCACCUUCAGACUCUACUGACUCUUCUCUGCUGUCCUGUGUAUUCCACUGUGACCCCUUAAUGUCUGUUCUGUGCCACUGGCUUGGCCCUAGGCCUUUUAUGAAUACCCGAGUCUUACGAUGAACUUCCUGAGCAGGCAGUGUCCAACUUCUUUGCUCUUCAGGGACCUUAGUCUGCUCCUUUCCUCUCUCAGAGGUCUAUUUGAUAUAGUAAUCUAGUGCAUUGGAGAGAGGUAGCUAGACAGGCUGCAGAGUCUGUAAGGCUGGGGGCUGGGAGUGAUUUGGGUACUCUCUGUUACCACUACUGGGAUAAUAAUCAGAAAAGAGGGGACCUCAUACUGUGACCUGACCCAGGGCCCUCCCCUGGAAGAGAGCUCAGCCCAGGUUUGUGUGUGUGUGUGUGUGUGUGUGUGUGUGUGUGUGUGUGACAGAGUGUGUGUGUGCACACGCAUGCCCUUGUGCACGUGGGUGUAAAUUGUUAUCUGGUUGUGUUACUCAGGGUGGGCUGGGGACUCACCAGAAGAAUCCCCUCAGCCCGCCCAAGACUGUUUUUUUCCUGUACCCUCUCCAGAGGGGUCGGGGAAGGGGGUCCAGGUGGGUUGAGGGGGUCACAAUGGAUAACCACUAAGGCCACACUGCUGCCAGGAGGAGUGGGGUGAGGGAGAGAUGAGGUGGCCCCAGGGACCUGGCACCUGGCUUUGGUUUUCCAUCUUCUUUCUUCAGGACACCCCCUGAGGCCUGGGACCUGCGCCUGGCUUUGAGGAACAUCUGUAGCUGGGUGUUCCAGCUGCUGGUGUGAUCAUGGGCUUCCCUCCUCUCUCAGCAGGGCAGGUGCUCCUGCCCCAGAGACUGGGCAACUGGCUGUUUCUAUGACGUAUUUAUUUUUACUUGUGUUUCAUGUCACUUUUUUAAAAAAGCAAACAGAACAAUUGUCAGUUUAACUGCCUAUCAGUUUAUUUCUCUUUUUGUAAAAUAAAAUUUAAACUG
Molecule: long non-coding RNA, 3476 nt
Organism: Phocoena sinus (vaquita)
Lineage: Eukaryota; Metazoa; Chordata; Mammalia; Artiodactyla; Phocoenidae
Source: Ensembl